RNAcentral lists this ribosomal RNA (486 nucleotides) under uncultured bacterium. Its description in RNAcentral is "partial 16S ribosomal RNA". It matches the Rfam family "Bacterial small subunit ribosomal RNA", at positions 28 to 507 of the family's 1533-position model. The record is from RNAcentral.
GACGAACGCUGGCGGCGUGCUUAACACAUGCAAGUCGAACGCUGAAGACCUGGCUUUUGUUGGGUUGGAUGAGUGGCGAACGGGUGAGUAACACGUGAGUAACCUGCCCUCUUCUUUGGGAUAACGCCCGGAAACGGGUGCUAAUACUGGAUAUUCACUGAUCUUCGCAUGGGGGUUGGUGGAAAGGUUUGUUCUGGUGGGGGAUGGGCUCGCGGCCUAUCAGCUUGUUGGUGGGGUGAUGGCCUACCAAGGCUUUGACGGGUAGCCGGCCUGAGAGGGUGACCGGUCACAUUGGGACUGAGAUACGGCCCAGACUCAUACGGGAGGCAGCAGUGGGGAAUAUUGCACAAUGGGCGAAAGCAUGAUGCAGCGACGCCGCGUGAGGGAUGGAGGCCUUCGGGGUGUAAACCUCUUUCGCUCAUGGUCAAGCCGCAACUGUGGGUUGUGGUGAGGGUAGUGGGUAAAGAAGCGCCGGCUAACUACGUG